Molecule: long non-coding RNA, 678 nt
Organism: Lagopus leucura (white-tailed ptarmigan)
Lineage: Eukaryota; Metazoa; Chordata; Aves; Galliformes; Phasianidae
Exons: 4
Source: RefSeq, a predicted model, not a curated record
CGAUGGAAGGAGGCGUGGAAGCCGGCCGCAAACGGCCCGAGGGCGGCGGUGCCCGUUCGGCCCCCCGGAGGCUGCGCGCCUCGACACCACCCACUCUUCCCUGCUGCUCAGAAAUCCAGAAAUGAGAGCCUCACUGUUGGAAAGUUGUGUCCACUUAUUUACCAUGUCCAGCCACCUGCUGCUUGAUCCAGCCCACAAGGUACGAAAGGGAAAACAAAAUUUUAACAAGGAAGAAGAAGUCUCAGUUCCCACCUUGGACUUAAUGUGGAAGGAUCUUUGUCCUCCUACUGCAAUUUGCUUUUUCAUGACACUGAAGUGAUUGAACCGACAAAUAAGAAGGCCAGCACUGUGGACACGCAAGUUGAAGUCAACAUCAUCACAGAACUUCUGGAACAGAGAAAUAAAGUAAGCAGAAUGAGGCCAAACAUCCUUGAGCUGAAUUUGACCUAUUUCAACAAUAAGACGGAACAGAAGGUAAACUUCUAAAGCUGACAACAUUUAAAUCCUCUGGCCUUUGGAAAAUUCAGCCUCAGUUCUCCAUUUGGAAUGCAGAUUUGUACAGCAAACAGGAUGAUGUGCAGAACUGUGGAAUUAACAUCCAAGGCUUGGAUUUAAAACAGCGAAGUACUUACUGCAACAACAGACAUCAGUAAGAAAAAUGAUAUUUUAUUGUAUGUU